Molecule: ribosomal RNA, 404 nt
Filed under: uncultured bacterium
Lineage: Bacteria
Description: bacterial SSU rRNA
Rfam family: Bacterial small subunit ribosomal RNA
Source: RNAcentral
UGGGGAAUAUUGGACAAUGGGGGAAACCCUGAUCCAGCGAUGCCGCGUGAGUGAAGAAGGCCUUAGGGUUGUAAAGCUCUUUCAGUGGGGAAGAUGAUGACGGUACCCACAGAAGAAGCACCGGCAAACUCUGUGCCAGCAGCCGCGGUAAUACAGAGGGUGCAAGCGUUGUUCGGAAUUACUGGGCGUAAAGAGCGCGUAGGCGGCUCGAUAAGUCAGACGUGAAAGCCCUAGGCUUAACCUAGGAGUAGCGUAUGAUACUGUCGGGCUAGAGGCCUUGAGAGGAGUGAGGAAUUCCUAGUGUAGAGGUGAAAUUCGUAGAUAUUAGGAAGAACACCAGUGGCGAAGGCGACACUCUGGCAAGGAACUGACGCUGAGGCGCGAAAGCGUGGGGAGCAAACAGG